CAAUAGCGUAUAUUAAAGUUGUUGCAGUUAAAAAGCUCGUAGUUGGAUUUGUGGCGUACGGUGUGUUCCGGGCACUUGUUGUCUGAGUAACCUGCUGUUGCCAUCCUUGGGUGGAACCUGUGUGGCAUUAGGUUGUCGUGCAGGGGAUGCCCAUCAUUUACUGUGAAAAAAUUAGAGUGUUCAAAGCAGGCUUAUGCCGUUGAAUAUAUUAGCAUGGAAUAAUGAGAUAGGACUUUUUCGCUAUUUUGUUGGUUUGCGCAAAGAGGUAAUGAUUAAUGGGGACAGUUGGGGGUAUUCGUAUUCCAUUGUCAGAGGUGAAAUUCUUGGAUUUUUGGAAGACGAACUACUGCGAAAGCAUUUACCAAGGAUGUUUUCAUUAA
RNAcentral lists this ribosomal RNA (380 nucleotides) under uncultured eukaryote. RNAcentral describes it as "partial 18S ribosomal RNA". It matches the Rfam family "Eukaryotic small subunit ribosomal RNA", at positions 592 to 976 of the family's 1831-position model. The record is from RNAcentral.